Molecule: long non-coding RNA, 473 nt
Organism: Corapipo altera (White-ruffed manakin)
Lineage: Eukaryota; Metazoa; Chordata; Aves; Passeriformes; Pipridae
Exons: 4
Source: RefSeq, a predicted model, not a curated record
GUUUGUUAAAUUUCCAGUAAAUAAGAAAGCCCCAGAAACCAGGUGAACGGCUGAACUGCAAGGAAACAUCUGCCCUUGGCUUCAGCCAGAAGCAGAAGACAGCACAGAUGAUCCUUCUGUAAGCUAAAUCUUAACCCAGGAGGGAGUUUUCCAUCUGGGGAAGGACUGAAGACCACAGAAAUCAUGACAUCUCCAGCAUGAAGUGGAGUCAGCAAGGCGGAAAAGAUGAGUGUGGAAUCAGGAGCAGGAGAUCCUUCUUGAGUGCUGAAAUACAAAAACAAGAAUUGUGAGUUCUGAUCUGACUCAGAUUCUCCAGGGACUGCACGUCAGACAAAUGCUACAGAAAUCAAGAGACCAGAUGACCCACUUCUCUCUAGCUCCAGGAUAAAACCCCACUGCUUUGGUAGCCCCAUCCAAAGCAGGCUGUAAAUAAUCAUUCUUAUGAAAAACAGGGGGGGCAACACUCACUUCAA